GACGAACGCUGGCGGCGUGCUUAACACAUGCAAGUCGAACGGAAAGGCCCUGCUUGCAGGGUACUCGAGUGGCGAACGGGUGAGUAACACGUGGGUGAUCUGCCCUUCACUUCGGGAUAAGCCUGGGAAACUGGGUCUAAUACCGGAUAGGAGCCAUUUUUAGUGUGAUGGUUGGAAAGUUUUUUCGGUGUAGGAUGAGCUCGCGGCCUAUCAGCUUGUUGGUGGGGUAAUGGCCUACCAAGGCGGCGACGGGUAGCCGGCCUGAGAGGGUGGACGGCCACAUUGGGACUGAGAUACGGCCCAGACUCCUACGGGAGGCAGCAGUGGGGAAGAUUGAACAAUGGGCGCAAGCCUGAUGCAGCGACGCCGCGUGGGGGAUGACGGCCUUCGGGUUGUAAACUCCUUUCGCUAGGGACGAAGCUUUUUGUGACGGUACCUAGAUAAGAAGCACCGGCUAACUACGUG
RNAcentral lists this ribosomal RNA (465 nucleotides) under uncultured bacterium. Its description in RNAcentral is "partial 16S ribosomal RNA". It matches the Rfam family "Bacterial small subunit ribosomal RNA", at positions 28 to 507 of the family's 1533-position model. The record is from RNAcentral.